AUGCAAGUCGAGCGGUAAGGCCUUUCGGGGUACACGAGCGGCGAACGGGUGAGUAACACGUGGGUGAUCUGCCCUGCACUUCGGGAUAAGCCUGGGAAACUGGGUCUAAUACCGGAUAUGACCUCCUAUCGCAUGGUGGGUGGUGGAAAGAUUUAUCGGUGCAGGAUGGGCCCGCGGCCUAUCAGCUUGUUGGUGGGGUAAUGGCCUACCAAGGCGACGACGGGUAGCCGACCUGAGAGGGUGACCGGCCACACUGGGACUGAGACACGGCCCAGACUCCUACGGGAGGCAGCAGUGGGGAAUAUUGCACAAUGGGCGAAAGCCUGAUGCAGCGACGCCGCGUGAGGGAUGACGGCCUUCGGGUUGUAAACCUCUUUCAGCAGGGACGAAGCGCAAGUGACGGUACCUGCAGAAGAAGCACCGGCUAACUACGUGCCAGCAGCCGCGGUAAUACGUAGGGUGCAAGCGUUGUCCGGAAUUACUGGGCGUAAAGAGUUCGUAGGCGGUUUGUCGCGUCGUUUGUGAAAACCAGCAGCUCAACUGCUGGCUUGCAGGCGAUACGGGCAGACUUGAGUACUGCAGGGGAGACUGGAAUUCCUGGUGUAGCGGUGAAAUGCGCAGAUAUCAGAGGAACACCGGUGGCGAAGCGGGUCUCUGGGCAGUAACUGACGCUGAGAACGAAAGCGUGGGUAGCGAACAGGAUUAGAUACCCUGGUAGUCCACGCCGUAAACGGUGGCGCUAGUGUGGGUUCCUUCACGAUCGUGCCGUACUAACGCAUAAGCGCCCGCUGGGAGUCCGCCCAAGCUAAACUAAAGAUUACGGGGCCCGCAACGCGACAUUUGUUAAUUCAUCACC
Molecule: ribosomal RNA, 856 nt
Filed under: Rhodococcus sp. 1130-273-4
Lineage: Bacteria; Bacillati; Actinomycetota; Actinomycetes; Mycobacteriales; Nocardiaceae
Description: bacterial SSU rRNA
Rfam family: Bacterial small subunit ribosomal RNA
Source: RNAcentral